GCAUUCUUGCUAACCUUUAAUAUAAUCCUCCUGUAUCUAUCGUGUAAUUUCAGGCCAAAAAAAGGAAAUCUAAUGCGCGGGAUAUCUUUUCUAUAGUUGAUUUUGAAUGACUUUGUUUGGUGCCUUAUUUUUCUUUUUUCUGGUUUACUUCUUUGUUCAUCUUCAAUUUGGUUUCUCUAUCUUUAUAUACGGAUGCUUUUUCAAUUUGAUUUUUGUCUCAAGUGGUUCAGAUUUUUGCAAAUUAUUGUACAUGAUGGGUGAUUUGCUUCCGAGUUUUCUCAAAACUUGUGUCAAGAAGUGUUGCUGCAAGAUGGGUAGAGGAAAGAUUGAGAUCAAGAUGAUCGAGAACGUACACUACCAAUCGUCAAGUCACCUUCUGCAAGCGGAGAAAUGAACUCUUGAAGAAAGCUUGUGCUGUUGCUUGCUUGGUAUGCACCAAGGCUUAUGCUGUUACUUGUGCUAUUAGCUUGUGCUGUUACUUAUGUUGUUGCUUGCUUGGUAUGACACCAAGGCUUCUGAACUGUAACUGUGGUUUUGAUGUGUUGUACAGUGGAGGAAAAGCUAGAUUGGUGCUAAAAGUAUGCACACUAGAGGAAACAAGAAAAUGAGACUACUUAGAUUAGAAUCUUGGAUUUUGGAAUAUUGGAUUUUGUAAUGAAUAUUAUGAGACUACUUAGGCCGUAAUGAGCUGCUUCGUAAUGUUGUAUCCAAUUGGAAUGAAUAUUAUGACUCAAUAUUUUACUAGAUGACUUAAUCUAAGGAUGGUUAUUUGAUGACAGUGUAAAUGGUUUUGUGUUCAGUUGUGGAUGGAUUUUGUGUAUAUAAUCAUUGUGGAGACUGUGUAUUAUGAAGAUGUAUAGCUUGUGAUUCCUUAGGAAUUGGGAGUACAUGUUGUUAAGCUUACCAUACAAAACUUGUAUAUGAAAUCAAUCAAGCUUUCAAUGUCA
This is a long non-coding RNA of Juglans microcarpa x Juglans regia, 947 nucleotides long. RefSeq lists it as uncharacterized. Lineage: Eukaryota; Viridiplantae; Streptophyta; Magnoliopsida; Fagales; Juglandaceae. The transcript has 3 exons. The record is from RefSeq and is a predicted model, not a curated record.